GCGCUUCUGGGAGUCUUGAGAUUCGACGACCGGUGAAAUGGCGGAGACUGCGGCCCUGGUGUGGCUUCGGGGCCCCAGCUUCGGGUGCAAGGCGGUGUGGUGUGCCUCGGCCCCGCUCUCCGUACGCGAUUUUAUCCACCGACACUGCCAAGAUCAGGAUGUUCCAGUGGAAUGCUACUUUGUGAAAUGCAAUGGAUCACUUGUUAACACCAGUGACACAGUGCAGCAUGGAGCUGUUUAUAGUUUGGAACCCAGACUUCGUGGUGGAAAAGGAGGUUUUGGCUCUAUGCUCCGAGCACUUGGUGCUCAGAUUGAGAAGACAACCAAUCGAGAAGCUUGCCGGGAUCUCAGUGGGAGGAGACUGCGAGAUGUCAAUCACGAGAAAGCAAUGGCUGAAUGGGUAAAACAACAAGCCGAGCGAGAAGCUGAAAAGGAGCAAAAGCGCCUGGAACGACUGCAGCGGAAGCUUGCAGAACCCAGGCCCUGCUUCACCAGCCCCGACUACCAGCAGCAGUGCCAUGAGAUGGCCGAGCGUCUGGAGGAUUCCGUCCUCCGAGGUAUGCAGGCUGCCUCCAGCAAGACGGUAUCAGCAGAAAUCUGUGAGAGUCGGAAACGGCCUAACAAAUCAAAAACAGACAGAGCAGCCAGUGCAGAGAAAAGGAAAUGCUUUUGGUUGGGCAUGGAAGGACUAGAGACUGCAGAAGGGUCUGGCUCUGAGAGCUCUGAUGAUGACAGUGCAGAAGCACCUAGUACUUCAGGAAUGAGCUUUCACGUUCCCAAAAAUGGCAGUGAUGGUGUUGAGAUGGCAGCCGAAUUUCCUAGUAGCUCUCAGCAGGCAAGAGUAUUGAGUGCAGACUCUAGAUCACGAGAAAAACUACAGACCCCUGUGACGGACUCUGGGAAUGGUAUUUCAGAAGAUUUGUAUGCUGAGCUGGGAGAGGCAUCUACCCAGGAGUACAUGGAAAGGAAGAUGGCUAUAGAAACAGAGAAAACCCAGGAGAAAAAUGAGGCAGAGAGUAAAGAACUCUUAGAAAAGGAAGCAGCUGGAGUUGGACUGAAUAAGGAGCAGGAGACCAAAGAAAUGACUGAUGGGGAAAGAGCUGCCAAGGGAGCACCUGGAGAAGAUAGGGAAAACAUACUUGUUGCCAAGCUGGAGGACAGCCAGUCAGGAAACACAGAUAUUGGUCAGGAAACCGUAGAUUUACUGGCGUUCAGCUCUGUUGCAGAAGUGGAGUUGCUGGGUUUGGAGAAGCUCAAGUGUGAACUCACGGCCCGGGGACUGAAGUGCGGGGGCACUCUCCAGGAGCGGGCGGCGAGGCUUUUCUCUGUCAGAGGACUGGCAAAGGAGCAGAUAGAUCCAGCUUUAUUUGCCAAGCCUUCGAAAGGGAAAAAGAAGUGAAUUUCAUCGGAGCUGAUUUCCUGUUUCUUAAUAGGCUAGCGCUUACAACCUGUAUAAUGCAGACUCUUGGACAUUAUUCUUGUUGCUAUUAAAGGUCACUUUAGUGGGAACUGUGUGCACUGACGCUCCAGUUCGUACUCCUGCCCCUCACGGCCCUCACACCAGCUGGCAGAAGAGGCCUCUGACCAGAGCCGGCCUCCUGUCCCGAAACGCAGAGACACAAGAAAAUGUACCGUCUUCUCUUCCUUCUCUCUCAUCUCUGCAGAAAGGUUGUUGGAAGACAGGAAACGAACGCUUACAAAUAGGAAAUGCCCAGCCCCAGGGCACACAGCUUUGAGAAUGCGGAGCU
Kogia breviceps (pygmy sperm whale) is the source of this 1748-nucleotide non-coding RNA. Lineage: Eukaryota; Metazoa; Chordata; Mammalia; Artiodactyla; Physeteridae. The record is from RefSeq and is a predicted model, not a curated record.